RNAcentral lists this ribosomal RNA (629 nucleotides) under uncultured Byssocorticium. RNAcentral's name for it is "eukaryotic LSU rRNA". The stretch from base 227 to 381 matches the Rfam family "5.8S ribosomal RNA". Lineage: Eukaryota; Fungi; Basidiomycota; Agaricomycetes; Atheliales; Atheliaceae. The record is from RNAcentral.
GAGGAAGUAAAAGUCGUAACAAGGUCUCCGUAGGUGAACCUGCGGAGGGAUCAUUACCGAAGUUCAUGCCCUUACGGGUAGAUCUCCCACCCUAUGUUAUUAUUACCUUUGUUGCUUUGGCGGGCCGCCAGGCUCCGGUCAGGCUAUCGGCUUCGGCUGGUAAGCGCCCGCCAGAGGACCCAAUAUCCUGAUUAUUAGUGUCGUCUGAGUACUAUAUAAUAGUUAAAACUUUCAACAACGGAUCUCUUGGUUCUGGCAUCGAUGAAGAACGCAGCGAAAUGCGAUAAGUAAUGUGGAUUGCAGAUUUUCAGUGAAUCAUCGAAUCUUUGAACGCACCUUGCGCUCCUUGGUAUUCCGAGGAGCAUGCCUGUUUGAGUGUCAUUAAAUUCUCAACUUCACCGAUUUGAUUCGAGUGGAAGCUUGGAGUUUGGAGUGUGCUGGCCCUCGCUGGGGUCGGCUCCUCUUUAAAUGCAGCAGCGGAGUCAUCUUUGACCUUGCGGCAUUGGCGUGAUAGUCAUUGUUGCGCCGUUGGCCUCAAGGUCUUGGUCCGCUUACAAAUGGUCUACUUGGACAAUGAAAUGUUUGACCUCAAAUCAGGUAGGACUACCCGCUGAACUUAAGCAUAUCAU